Molecule: ribosomal RNA, 2904 nt
Filed under: Clostridium perfringens
Lineage: Bacteria; Bacillati; Bacillota; Clostridia; Eubacteriales; Clostridiaceae
Description: 23S ribosomal RNA
Rfam family: Bacterial large subunit ribosomal RNA
Source: RNAcentral
GGUCAAGCUACAAAGGGCGCAUGGUGAAUGCCUUGGCAUCAGGAGCCGAUGAAGGACGUGAUAAGCUGCGAUAAGCUUCGGGUAGGCGCACAUAGCCUGAGAUCCGAAGAUCUCCGAAUGAGGAAACUCACAUGGGAAACCCCAUGUAUCAUUAAGUGAAUACAUAGCUUAAUGAAGGUAACCCAGGGAACUGAAACAUCUAAGUACCUGGAGGAAGAGAAAGAAAAAUCGAUUUUCUUAGUAGCGGCGAGCGAAAGGGAAAGAGCCCAAACCGGAAACUUGUUUCCGGGGUUGUGGACAUAGCAUAAAAGUGGAGGCUAUUGUAACUGAAGAGAACUGGAAAGUUCCACCGUAGAAGGUAAUAGUCCUGUAAGUGAAACGAGAAGACCAUGAGUUAUGAUCCAGAGUACCACGAGACACGUGAAACCUUGUGGGAAGCAGGGAGGACCACCUCCCAAGGCUAAAUACUACCUGAUGACCGAUAGUGAAGCAGUACCGUGAGGGAAAGGUGAAAAGAACCCCGGGAGGGGAGUGAAAUAGAACCUGAAACCGUGUGCCUACAACCGCUCAGAGCCCCUUAUGAGGGUGAUGAGGUGCUUUUUGUAGAACGAGCCAACGAGUUACGGUAUGUAGCAAGGUUAAGUACUUAAGGUACGGAGCCGAAGGGAAACCGAGUCUGAAUAGGGCGACUAGUUGCAUGCCGUAGACCCGAAACCGGGUGACCUAUCCAUGGCCAGGUUGAAGCGAGGGUAAAACCUCGUGGAGGACCGAACCACGUUGCUGUUGAAAAAGCAUGGGAUGAGCUGUGGAUAGCGGAGAAAUUCCAAUCGAACCCGGAGAUAGCUGGUUCUCUCCGAAAUAGCUUUAGGGCUAGCGUCGAGUAUGAGUAGUGGAGGUAGAGCACUGAAUGGGCUAGGGGGCAUAGCGCUUACCGAACCUUAUCAAACUCCGAAUGCCACAUACUUUGAGCUCGGCAGUCAGACUACGAAUGAUAAGAUCCGUGGUCAAAAGGGAAACAGCCCAGAUCGUCAGCUAAGGUCCCAAAGUGUAAGUUAAGUGGGAAAGGAUGUGAGAUUUCUAAGACAACUAGGAUGUUGGCUUAGAAGCAGCCAUUCAUUAAAAGAGUGCGUAAUAGCUCACUAGUCGAGAGAUCUUGCGCCGAAAAUGUAACGGGGCUAAACUUACCACCGAAGCUACGGGCUUGAACUUAGUUCAAGCGGUAGGAGAGCGUCGUAACCGGGCUGAAGUCGUACCGUAAGGAGCGGUGGACUGGUUACGAGUGAGAAUGUUGGCAUCAGUAGCGAGAUGUGGGUGAGAAUCCCACAGGCCGAAAACCUAAGGUUUCCUCAGGAAGGUUCGUCCGCUGAGGGUUAGUCGGGACCUAAGCCGAGGCCGAAAGGCGUAGGUGAUGGACAACUGGUUGAUAUUCCAGUACCACUACCAUCGUUAUUAUCGAUGGCGUGACGCAGGAGGAUAGUGUGUGCUAGCUAUUGGAUGCUAGUCUAAGCGUUUAGGCAGUGAGAGUAGGCAAAUCCGCUCUCAUAAUGCUGAGGCGUGAUGGGGAAGGUUCUACGGAACCGAAGUACAUGAUUCCACGCUGCCAAGAAAAGCGUCUAGAGAGAGAAGUAGUGCCCGUACCGCAAACCGACACAGGUAGGUGAGGAGAGAAUCCUAAGGCCUGCGGAAGAAUUACAGUUAAGGAACUCGGCAAAUUGACCCCGUAAGUUCGCGAGAAGGGGUGCCUACGAGAGUAGGCCGCAGAGAAUAGGCCCAAGCAACUGUUUAGCAAAAACACAGGUCUCUGCUAAAGCGUAAGCUGAUGUAUAGGGGCUGACGCCUGCCCGGUGCUGGAAGGUUAAGGGGAACACUUAGCGCAAGCGAAGGUGUGAACUUAAGCCCCAGUAAACGGCGGCCGUAACUAUAACGGUCCUAAGGUAGCGAAAUUCCUUGUCAGGUAAGUUCUGACCCGCACGAAUGGCGUAAUGACUUGGGCACUGUCUCAACUGUAAAUCCGGCGAAGUUGUAGUGCGAGUGAAGAUGCUCGCUACCCGCGAUUGGACGGAAAGACCCCGUAGAGCUUUACUGUAGCUUAGCAUUGAGUUUUGGUAUUGUCUGUACAGGAUAGGUGGGAGACUAGGAAACCAGGGCGUCAGCCUUGGUGGAGUCAACCUUGGGAUACCACCCUGACAGUACUGAAAUUCUAACUGGCGGCCAUGAAUCUGGUCACAGGACAUUGUUAGGUGGGCAGUUUGACUGGGGCGGUCGCCUCCUAAAAAGUAACGGAGGCGCCCAAAGGUUCCCUCAGAACGGUCGGAAAUCGUUCGAAGAGUGCAAAGGCAGAAGGGAGCCUGACUGCGACACCCACAAGUGGAGCAGGGACGAAAGUCGGGCUUAGUGAUCCGGUGGUACCUCGUGGGAGGGCCAUCGCUCAACGGAUAAAAGCUACCUCGGGGAUAACAGGCUGAUCUCCCCAAGAGUCCACAUCGACGGGGAGGUUUGGCACCUCGAUGUCGGCUCGUCGCAUCCUGGGGCUGAAGUAGGUCCCAAGGGUUGGGCUGUUCGCCCAUUAAAGCGGCACGCGAGCUGGGUUCAGAACGUCGUGAGACAGUUCGGUCCCUAUCCGUCGCGGGCGUAGGAAAUUUGAGAGGAGCUGUCCUUAGUACGAGAGGACCGGGAUGGACUGACCUCUGGUGUACCAGUUGUUCCGCCAGGAGCAUAGCUGGGUAGCUAAGUCGGGAAUGGAUAAACGCUGAAAGCAUCUAAGCGUGAAGCCAACCUCAAGAUGAGAUUUCCCAUAGCGUAAGCUAGUAAGAUCCCUUGAAGAACACAAGGUUGAUAGGUCGGGGGUGUAAGCAUGGUAACAUGUUCAGCUGACCGAUACUAAUAGAUCGAGGGCUUGACCAA